UGCCCUGAAGAAGAUCGGAGUGAUCCACACUGAUGUUAAAACCAAUAGCUGAUUGGCUUUGACAUGGCUAUUUUCAGCCAUAAAGCCAAGCAGACCACGGUGAUUUCUGAUUUCUAUAGAUGAGGUCUAAAGAAGCACUGAUCUUUAUUUUACGGUUUUUGUUCUACCACAAAAUAACAUGCUCUGUAUGUGCAGGUGGGUGAUGAUCUGCUGUGAUAACUUUGUACUAAUGCUAUUAUUACAUUAUGUGCUACAUUAUGCUUUAAUAAUUAAAAUAUGACAAUGUACCUAUUUUUUUCAAUGCUUUUAUUCCACAUUCAGGAGAAAUUAUGUCGAAACUACCAUUUUCUGAGGCCAAUGACAUGUGGUCGCUGAGUUGCGUGAUGGUGAAAAUGGUUGUGGGCUCAACGCUGUUCCCGGGGAGGAGUGACUAUGAGACAAUAAAUGUGUCUGAAGAAAGAUAGAGGAUCAAAAGACAAUAAAAUGAGGGAGUGCAGCAACCUGUUAAAGGCCAUGCUCCAGUGGGAUGCGAGGGAGAGGAUUACCCCCAGCGAAGUCCUCACACAUAUAUUUAUUACCAGUAGCUACCGCAACAAGAGCUAAUCCUUAGACAACAGGGGUCGUCAGGCAAGCACAGGAGGAAGCAGGGAAGGAGGAUGACACACAGGGAGCAGGACAGAAAAAUCCUCAUCAUUGUGAGUCACUUGUUGAUAUAAUUCUGCAUUAUGCAGGUACUGCUCCCCUUUGGACAGGUCUUAUGCUGACAAGUCUUGGCAAAACCUGGGACAGUAAUGCCAGUGUUGUCAUCUCAACAUCAAAAUUGCACAGAAGAGCAGAAGAUUUUCUGCAGCUACAGCAUGAGUUUGUUGUUGGCAAACUCAAGGGAAUGAACACAAACUGUAAAGACACACAGAAACCUGAGGGCCCACAGACACUUCCCCUAUCACCAGAGGAGGCAUAGAGGAAGCAAAGUAUAACUCAAAAGAGAAAAUCAAAGUACUUCAGCUCCCCUCCCCCAGCGAAAAAGGUCCAAGUACUUUUGACAGAAAAAGGAGCAUGUCCAAGACAUUGACACAUGAUAAAAGUGAAACAACACCCAGCUCAUGUCCAGCACCACAAAAACACAAAGGAUUCUGUCCACAUUGAGGAGAGAAGGGAAACAUAGGCCAGCAAACACUAUGCAUGACAAACACUUGCAUAGUUGACAAUCCCCUGUACACAUUGUAUCUGGCAAUAAAGAGGAGACCAGGCAUUAAGAAUGACUUACAAACAAAUGCAAAUCUUAACCUGUGGAUUGAUACCUUGCUUCAGGUUCAUGAGGUUGAGAAGAAGGAGUGGUCACAGGGAAAAUUACUAUGGCUGAACACCAUCGGAAGAUUCAAAGGACACUCAUGGAAUGCAUUUGGGACUG
Molecule: long non-coding RNA, 1411 nt
Organism: Thunnus maccoyii (southern bluefin tuna)
Lineage: Eukaryota; Metazoa; Chordata; Actinopteri; Scombriformes; Scombridae
Exons: 3
Source: RefSeq, a predicted model, not a curated record